GGCCGAGUGGCGGAAUGGCAGACGCUGGGGAUUUAAAAUCCCCUGAGCAUAACGCUCGUGCGGGUUCGAGUCCCGCCUUGGCUA
This 84-nucleotide transfer RNA is filed under the name Planctomycetia bacterium. Its description in RNAcentral is "tRNA-Leu". It matches the Rfam family "tRNA". Rfam says of the family: Transfer RNA (tRNA) molecules are approximately 80 nucleotides in length. Their secondary structure includes four short double-helical elements and three loops (D, anti-codon, and T loops). Lineage: Bacteria; Pseudomonadati; Planctomycetota; Planctomycetia. The record is from RNAcentral.